GGGGCGAUAGUUCAACAGGAGAACGCUGCACUCGCACUGCAGGGAUCGGGGUGCGAUUCCCCGUCGCUCCA
This 71-nucleotide transfer RNA is filed under the name Labilithrix sp. Its description in RNAcentral is "tRNA-Ala". It matches the Rfam family "tRNA". Rfam says of the family: Transfer RNA (tRNA) molecules are approximately 80 nucleotides in length. Their secondary structure includes four short double-helical elements and three loops (D, anti-codon, and T loops). Further hydrogen bonds mediate the characteristic L-shaped molecular structure. tRNAs have two regions of fundamental functional importance: the anti-codon, which is responsible for specific mRNA codon recognition, and the 3' end, to which the tRNAs corresponding amino acid is attached (by aminoacyl-tRNA synthetases). tRNAs cope with the degeneracy of the genetic code in two manners: having more than one tRNA (with a specific anti-codon) for a particular amino acid; and 'wobble' base-pairing, i.e. permitting non-standard base-pairing at the 3rd anti-codon position. Lineage: Bacteria; Pseudomonadati; Myxococcota; Polyangiales; Labilitrichaceae. The record is from RNAcentral.